This is a long non-coding RNA of Syngnathoides biaculeatus (alligator pipefish), 913 nucleotides long. RefSeq lists it as uncharacterized. Lineage: Eukaryota; Metazoa; Chordata; Actinopteri; Syngnathiformes; Syngnathidae. The transcript has 6 exons. The record is from RefSeq and is a predicted model, not a curated record.
AUGUCCAACUGGUUCAAACUGGUUUGGCUCUUAUAUUUCAUGGUAUAAACCAGAAAAACAUUGCUUUGCGAUAUACAUGCGCCAUUUUAAGCAGCUCCCCAGUCUGCACAGUACUGUGACCCUCUUGUGAGGAGGAAAAAAAAGCCUUUGUUACGCAUCUUUUUUCCCAAAUUUUAUCGGCGACGACAUGGCUAAAGCAAAGCCGUCAUGUGGCACCAUUGAGAGAAGAUGUUCCCCACGCCUGGCAGUGAAACCCAAAGCUGCUCCAGCAGAAGCCAAGAAGAAAGCUGCUGCCAAAAAGUUGCCUAAAGCAAAGAAGGCCAAGGCAGAGAAUGGCAACACCAAGGCUGAGGAGCCCAAGGCUGACACCGCAGAAGCCAAAUGAGUUAACGUCGACACGGUCGCUUUGCCCACUGCCCCUUUGCCCCCCAUCCCUCCUGUGUACUUGGUGAUUGUACAGUUUGAAAUAAGUAUUUUUUACCAAGUUUUAUAUUACAAAUGUCAUUUAUUCGGUUUGCCCUUGCACUUGACGUAACACAUUGUGUUCUCACUACGCUCACUCAUAUCUAUUUUGGAAAUUCUUACACCCCCGCCGUCCGUACUUCGUAGCUUGGCGUCUCUCUCAUUUCUGUCUUUUAUUUUGUUUUUAACUGCUGAUUAAUAGAUACUUCACCAUGCUUUUUUUUCUCUCCAAACAUAGGGCAGCUAUUAAAAAAAAUUUUUUGAGUCACGGCUUACCAAAUGUUUUUGAAACACUGUAUGUUGUUUAAAAAAAAACAGAUCUGCCACCCUCCCCAAGAAACUUGUUUGUGAAUUUAAAUCACCCGAUGACGAAGUUUCCCGCUAAGCUAUGUUUAUGACUCUGAUGGUUAAUCUAAAUGUUAAAGAAAUAAACAUUUUUAAAAAGCUCUCA